CUGAGUUCUAAACUCCAACCCUAUGUGAACUUACCACUGUUGCCUCGGCGCUGUGCCUGCGAGAGCAGGCCCGCCGGUGGACCACUAAACUCUGUUAUACCUACUGUAUCUCUGAAUUUAUAACUGAAAUACGUUA
This 136-nucleotide unclassified non-coding RNA is filed under the name uncultured Ascomycota. RNAcentral's name for it is "sequence contains ITS1". The record is from RNAcentral. Lineage: Eukaryota; Fungi; Ascomycota.